RNAcentral lists this ribosomal RNA (1574 nucleotides) under Lactobacillus crispatus. RNAcentral's name for it is "bacterial SSU rRNA". It matches the Rfam family "Bacterial small subunit ribosomal RNA". The record is from RNAcentral. Lineage: Bacteria; Bacillati; Bacillota; Bacilli; Lactobacillales; Lactobacillaceae.
UUUAAAAUGAGAGUUUGAUCCUGGCUCAGGACGAACGCUGGCGGCGUGCCUAAUACAUGCAAGUCGAGCGAGCGGAACUAACAGAUUUACUUCGGUAAUGACGUUAGGAAAGCGAGCGGCGGAUGGGUGAGUAACACGUGGGGAACCUGCCCCAUAGUCUGGGAUACCACUUGGAAACAGGUGCUAAUACCGGAUAAGAAAGCAGAUCGCAUGAUCAGCUUUUAAAAGGCGGCGUAAGCUGUCGCUAUGGGAUGGCCCCGCGGUGCAUUAGCUAGUUGGUAAGGUAAAGGCUUACCAAGGCGAUGAUGCAUAGCCGAGUUGAGAGACUGAUCGGCCACAUUGGGACUGAGACACGGCCCAAACUCCUACGGGAGGCAGCAGUAGGGAAUCUUCCACAAUGGACGCAAGUCUGAUGGAGCAACGCCGCGUGAGUGAAGAAGGUUUUCGGAUCGUAAAGCUCUGUUGUUGGUGAAGAAGGAUAGAGGUAGUAACUGGCCUUUAUUUGACGGUAAUCAACCAGAAAGUCACGGCUAACUACGUGCCAGCAGCCGCGGUAAUACGUAGGUGGCAAGCGUUGUCCGGAUUUAUUGGGCGUAAAGCGAGCGCAGGCGGAAGAAUAAGUCUGAUGUGAAAGCCCUCGGCUUAACCGAGGAACUGCAUCGGAAACUGUUUUUCUUGAGUGCAGAAGAGGAGAGUGGAACUCCAUGUGUAGCGGUGGAAUGCGUAGAUAUAUGGAAGAACACCAGUGGCGAAGGCGGCUCUCUGGUCUGCAACUGACGCUGAGGCUCGAAAGCAUGGGUAGUGAACAGGAUUAGAUACCCUGGUAGUCCAUGCCGUAAACGAUGAGUGCUAAGUGUUGGGAGGUUUCCGCCUCUCAGUGCUGCAGCUAACGCAUUAAGCACUCCGCCUGGGGAGUACGACCGCAAGGUUGAAACUCAAAGGAAUUGACGGGGGCCCGCACAAGCGGUGGAGCAUGUGGUUUAAUUCGAAGCAACGCGAAGAACCUUACCAGGUCUUGACAUCUAGUGCCAUUUGUAGAGAUACAAAGUUCCCUUCGGGGACGCUAAGACAGGUGGUGCAUGGCUGUCGUCAGCUCGUGUCGUGAGAUGUUGGGUUAAGUCCCGCAACGAGCGCAACCCUUGUUAUUAGUUGCCAGCAUUAAGUUGGGCACUCUAAUGAGACUGCCGGUGACAAACCGGAGGAAGGUGGGGAUGACGUCAAGUCAUCAUGCCCCUUAUGACCUGGGCUACACACGUGCUACAAUGGGCAGUACAACGAGAAGCGAGCCUGCGAAGGCAAGCGAAUCUCUGAAAGCUGUUCUCAGUUCGGACUGCAGUCUGCAACUCGACUGCACGAAGCUGGAAUCGCUAGUAAUCGCGGAUCAGCACGCCGCGGUGAAUACGUUCCCGGGCCUUGUACACACCGCCCGUCACACCAUGGGAGUCUGCAAUGCCCAAAGCCGGUGGCCUAACCUUCGGGAAGGAGCCGUCUAAGGCAGGGCAGAUGACUGGGGUGAAGUCGUAACAAGGUAGCCGUAGGAGAACCUGCGGCUGGAUCACCUCCUUUCUAAGGAA